This 335-nucleotide ribosomal RNA is filed under the name Erimyzon sucetta (lake chubsucker). RNAcentral's name for it is "partial 16S ribosomal RNA". It matches the Rfam family "Bacterial large subunit ribosomal RNA", at positions 668 to 1078 of the family's 2925-position model. Lineage: Eukaryota; Metazoa; Chordata; Actinopteri; Cypriniformes; Catostomidae. The record is from RNAcentral.
CAGAAUCCUCAAGCAAAGAGAUCUUUAGUUUGAAACCCCGAAACCAGGUGAGCUACCCCGAGACAGCCUACAUAGGGCCAACCCGUCUCUGUGGCAAAAGAGUGGGAAGAGCUCCGGGUAGAGGUGACAGACCUACCGAACCUGGUGAUAGCUGGUUGCCUAAGAAAUGGAUAGAAGUUCAGCCUCGUACAUCCCCCAGUCAAGCAAGUAAAAUCUAAACUAGAUACAGGGAAAGACACGAGAGUUAGUUAAAGGGGGUACAGCCCCUUUAACCCAGGAUACAACCUUUACAGGUGGAUAAGGAUCAUAUUUUCCAAAACUAACCGUCUUAGUGG